UCAUUUAUUUUCUUUUUUAAAAAUCAUAGCAAAUUAAGGACUUGGUGACAACUAAAUCUGUUUCAUUAUCGUGUUUGAGAUUCCAGAGGUGACUUCCCAGACCGCAUCUCAAAACCUACAGUCAGGAGCUAAUUUUACAGAUGCUUUCAUGAAUAGCAGCGAGGAUGUUCUUACCAGCAGCAUGCCCUUAAUUCCAGCACCGUAAAAAUGCCUCGAUUUAAAUGGAAACUCGCUGCCUUAAAAAUAAUAUUUCAUCCUGGCUGGAUAAUUAUUAAUAUUAGCAUUUGAUCGCAAUAGCGCUGGCUCCCCCUCGUUCCUGUACCCCCCCACCCCACAGCGCUUCGCAUUGUCAUGUGAUUGGAGGGAGAUAACAAACCUCAAGAAAGAAAAGGAGUGAGAAGACAUUUUUAACACGGCAUGACCGCAGAUUAAUAAUGCAGGGUAUGAAUUUGGUACUUCUAGCUCUUUGGAAGCUCCAUACUCAAUGGAAUAUGUAUAGAUACCCCAGGUAAAGCUACAGCUACCCCAAGGAUGUCACGGGGUACACCUGCCACCCUGACCCACCUGUGUGUUCCUAUACACUAAGAAGAAGCCAGGAACAAGAAAUUACACUUUAGUUAUCUCCAAAGAGGGUCCUAAAUGUGUAAGAUAAAGAGAACAGAAAUAAAUAUCUUUGCUAACA
Long non-coding RNA from Vidua chalybeata, 682 nucleotides. RefSeq lists it as uncharacterized. Lineage: Eukaryota; Metazoa; Chordata; Aves; Passeriformes; Viduidae. The transcript is spliced from 2 exons. The record is from RefSeq and is a predicted model, not a curated record.